Cervus hanglu yarkandensis (Yarkand deer) is the source of this 107-nucleotide small nuclear RNA. NCBI's taxonomy places the organism in Eukaryota, Metazoa, Chordata, Mammalia, Artiodactyla, Cervidae. The record is from Ensembl.
GUGCCCGCUUCAGCAGCACACAUGCUAAAACUGGAACGAUACAGAAAAGGUUAGCAUGACCCCUGAGCAAGGAUAACAUGCAGAUUCAUGAAGCGUACCACAUUUAA